CGAGCGUCAUUAUCAACCCUCAAGCCCUGCUUGGUAUUGGGUGCCGUCCCUACGGGGCGCGCUCUAAAGAUCUUGGCGGUGGUGUUGAACCUCAAGCGUAGUAAUUUUAUUUAGCUUUACGGUUUCGGCACCGCUCUGCCCCUAGAGACUAUCACCUCAAGGUUGACCUCGGAUCAGGUAGGGAUACCCGCUGAACUUAA
Molecule: unclassified non-coding RNA, 200 nt
Filed under: soil metagenome
Description: partial contains internal transcribed spacer 2 and large subunit ribosomal RNA
Source: RNAcentral